This is a long non-coding RNA of Pipra filicauda (Wire-tailed manakin), 1634 nucleotides long. RefSeq lists it as uncharacterized. The record is from RefSeq and is a predicted model, not a curated record. Lineage: Eukaryota; Metazoa; Chordata; Aves; Passeriformes; Pipridae. The transcript is spliced from 2 exons.
CCGCCAGACGUUACAGUCGGUGCAAGGCAACGGUGUGUUCAUCAGAGAUGAUAACAAAUUCAUCUUCACCAAAGUUCAGGUUGGGCAACGGGCCACGGCUCGCUUCAAGAUCUCUAAUGGCAGCAGUGUCCCAUGUGACGUGGUCCUCUCCAUCAAAGCCAUGCCUGGAGAGCCUCACAGCCUCAUCAGCAACAUCUUCAAGCUGGAUCCUGUCGAGAUGAGCAUUCCUGGCUUAUCCCACGCCUUUGCUACAGUGACCUUCACUCCAGAACAAAAGGAGGACUACCAGUGCACUUUCACAGCUUCCCUUGUUAGCCCAAAAAGGUAGUGACCCCGUGAAGUAUUGGGGGGACCGUUCUGGUAGCUGCCUCUCCUCUUGGUGCCUCUAAUGCUUUCAGUGCCCUUAGGCAGAGUACCUGGCAUGAGAUGAUGUAGGAGGCAUUAAGCAUUAGGCAGAGCAGAGCAGGAAAAUGAGGAGGAUACUUCAGGCUGUGUGAGGGACUCUGAAGAGAGGGCCUCAGGUAGCCAGCUGGAAGUUACUGACAAGUGCAACAGCUGAGCUGGGGCUUUCCAAGGCCAAAGGCUCAGAUGAAGCAGUUUCUGUGCCAGCAAGUCAAGAUUUCCUCCAUAUUUCUGUAAAAGGAAGUGAUCCUGUGUGGUUUCCAGGCAUACAUUAAGCUAUUUUUAUAUCAGGGGAGUGACUGGAGCUCUUACCAAAGAGAAGCCCAGUUCCUCUCCCUGGCACCUGUGUACUGGGGCUCUGACCUGCCCUUCCCCAAGUCUUUAGUGGCUGAAUUGGAACAGGGAAGUCAGCUUUCUGCCCUAACAAGCAAUUCCUUCUUUAGGAUCCUUGGAAAUAAUCUUUACUGACGGUGCUGUUGGUUUGGUUUUCCCUUCUUGCUUUCGUACUGUUCUCAUGGUGUGCUUUUGCUUGUUGCAUGUCUCCUAUCACUGCAGCCAGAGGAUUUGCCACGUCUCAUCUGGUGCCUCGUUAUUUAUCUGCUGUAUGGUGUGAUUCAAAUGAGGGAAAUUAUUUAGAACUGUUAUUCUGGAAGGCUCUGGCUGAAAUGGUUUCUGUGCCCACCAGUUCUGCCCUCCCAACAGCGAAACCAGUCCCGCCAGCCAACGGGACUGGUCAAUGCAACAGGAGCCACUGGGAGGGACUGGGAGGGACUGGGUGUCAUUAUCUAGUUAACUAAACCAAGUCCCUUCACUAUGAACCUUAGACAAGGUAAAAGGGAGGUAACUUGGUUUAUGUCUUUACAGGGGCCCAAUUAAGUUUUACGAUUUCUUUUUCUUUUCUCUCUCCGGGUUGUGUUGACCUCAGGCUGUUUUCUUUUUAUGGACCUCAAAUCGUUCUCCCUUUUACCUUGUCUAAAAUUUAUAGUGAAGGGACUUGGUUUAGUUAACUAGAUAAUGACACCUUUCUGCAAAGUUGAUAACUGUGCAGAUAACAAGCACCCAUCUGGCAGUGUCUGACCUGACAAUGGGUAAUGUUUUUGCUGUUGUGUAAGGAAUGUAUAUAUUUAUAGAGAGAAUAAAUAGAGAACAAGUGUCUCCUUUCAACCCCUCCCUGAUCCCCCAGCGCUGAAUUUGCUUUUCUCAGAUAAUAAAUUCUGGUUGGAAACCACCCG